CAGUAGACAGCAAAUUUUGUCUAUGUUUAUAAAAGUGUUACAAAUAAACUCAUCAUAGAUAUCAGGACAGAAAUUAUAUAUUAACGCCAGACGCACGUUUCGUCUUCAAAAGACUCAUCGGUGACACUCGAAUCAAAAAAAUGUUAAAAGGUCAAAUAAGUACGAAGUUGAAGAGCAUUCAGGACUGAAAAUUCCUAUAGGUUUUGCCAAAUACAGCUAAGGUAAUCUAUUCCUGAGGAAGAAAAGCCUUAGUAUUUCAAAUAUUCAAAAUUUUGUUAACAGUUAAUUUGUGAUUAUGAACAUAUCAAUGAUAAGUCAAGUCAACACCGA
This 330-nucleotide long non-coding RNA is filed under the name Mytilus galloprovincialis (Mediterranean mussel). The record is from RNAcentral. Lineage: Eukaryota; Metazoa; Mollusca; Bivalvia; Mytilida; Mytilidae.